RNAcentral lists this unclassified non-coding RNA (437 nucleotides) under uncultured Bordetella sp. RNAcentral's name for it is "partial 16S-23S ribosomal RNA intergenic spacer". It matches the Rfam family "Bacterial small subunit ribosomal RNA", at positions 340 to 794 of the family's 1533-position model. The record is from RNAcentral. Lineage: Bacteria; Pseudomonadati; Pseudomonadota; Betaproteobacteria; Burkholderiales; Alcaligenaceae.
UACGGGACCUUGAUGAGGUACGGACGACCAGGGGAAACCCUGAUCCAGCCAUCCACGUGCGAUGAAAGCCUUCGGGUUGUAAAGCACUUUUGGCAGGAAAGAAACGGCGCAGGAUAAUACGUGCAACUGACAGUACACCUGCAGAAUAAGCACCGGCUAUACGUGCCAGCAUGCGGUAAUACAUGGGGUGCAAGCGUUAAUCCGGAAUUACUGGGCGUAAAGCGUGCGCAGGCAGUUCGGAAAGAAAGAUACCAAAUGCGACUUGCUGGAACUGCAUUUUUAACUACCGAGCUAGAGUGUCAGGGAGGUGGAAUUCCGCAUGUAAGCAGUGAAAUGCGUAGAUAUGCGGAGGAACACCGAUGGCGAAAUGACCUCCUGGGAUAACGCUGAAAGCGCUCUUGCAAGCGUGGGGAGCAACAGGAUUAAUACCCCGUAGU